AGCGUAGACGGCAAGGCAAGUCUGAUGUGAAAACCCAGGGCUUAACCCUGGGACUGCAUUGGAAACUGUCUGGCUCGAGUGCCGGAGAGGUAAGCGGAAUUCCUAGUGUAGCGGUGAAAUUCGUAGAUAUUCGCAAGAACACCAGUGGCGAAGGCGGCUCACUGGGCCAUUACUGACGCUGAGGCACGAAAGCGUGGGGAGCAAACA
RNAcentral lists this ribosomal RNA (207 nucleotides) under uncultured bacterium. Its description in RNAcentral is "partial 16S ribosomal RNA". It matches the Rfam family "Bacterial small subunit ribosomal RNA", at positions 568 to 774 of the family's 1533-position model. The record is from RNAcentral.